GCCUCUGCUGUGGCGCCCGCCGGCGUGGUUGCCGGGGACGCGCGGGAUGGGGCCCGGCCCUGCAGGCCGCAAAGCGGGUCGGGGAGGCGCUUUCCCGGGGACCUUCUGAUCCCGGGAGACUGAACGUAAGCAUGCGAGGAGGUGCAGUAGUGUGAGAGGCUGACCAGAAGACCACUUGGGCCAGCGUUCCUGGGGAAGACUUCACGGCUAGAAGGAAUUCUAGGUAGUCACAGAAGAACACUAGAUGACCUAGAGCUCUAGGAUGGAACGAGCAUGGAAGCAAAAGCCAGCAACGAAAGAAGGAACUGCUAGAAAUGUAAGAUUCAUCCUGGUCAGUAGUUGGACAAAAGACGAGGAUCUAGUAUGUAAGAUCUAGAACCUAAGAAGCCUUGAAUGAAAGCCAGGAUGACACUCUUAUUUUCCAUCACCCAAAGUUUGAUUAGAGACUAGUUUGGAGGUGAGAUGCAAGACAGAUUUCCCAGAAAGUUCCAGCUGAGAAAGUGUCCUGCAUGAGCAGCAGCCAGCAAGGAAUGAAGCCUCCUGCCAAUAGUCAUGUGUAUGAACCAUCCCGAGGACAGAUCUUCCAGUCCCAGUCAAAUCUUCCAGUGCCUGCAUACCCAGAACCAGAACUGCCCAGCAAAGCCACUCCCAAGUUGUCGACCCAUAGAAACUGUGUGAGAUGAUCAGUGUUUAUUUCUUUAAGCUGUUAGGUUGGGGGGAUGAUCUGUUGUGCAGAAAUAGACAACGAAGACAUUCCCUCACAUAAAA
Molecule: long non-coding RNA, 768 nt
Organism: Neomonachus schauinslandi (Hawaiian monk seal)
Lineage: Eukaryota; Metazoa; Chordata; Mammalia; Carnivora; Phocidae
Exons: 3
Source: RefSeq, a predicted model, not a curated record